RNAcentral lists this ribosomal RNA (445 nucleotides) under uncultured bacterium. Its description in RNAcentral is "partial 16S ribosomal RNA". It matches the Rfam family "Bacterial small subunit ribosomal RNA", at positions 354 to 796 of the family's 1533-position model. The record is from RNAcentral.
GUGGGGAAUAUUGCGCAAUGGAGGCAACUCUGACGCAGCCAUGCCGCGUGCAGGAAGAAGGCGCUACGCGUUGUAAACUGCUUUUAACCGGGAAGAAACCCCAGGACGUGUCCUGGGUUGACGGUACCGGAGGAAUAAGCACCGGCUAACUUCGUGCCAGCAGCCGCGGUAAUACGAAGGGUGCAAGCGUUAUCCGGAUUCAUUGGGUUUAAAGGGUGCGUAGGCGGAGCGUUAAGUCAGUGGUGAAAUCCUGCAGCUUAACUGUAGACUUGCCAUUGAUACUGGCGCUCUUGAGUGCGCUUGAAGUGGGCGGAAUGUGUCGUGUAGCGGUGAAAUGCUUAGAUAUGGCACAGAACACCAAUUGCGAAGGCAGCUCACUAAGGCGAUACUGACGCUGAGGCACGAAAGCGUGGGGAUCGAACAGGAUUAGAAACCCCGGUAGUCC